RNAcentral lists this ribosomal RNA (241 nucleotides) under uncultured bacterium. Its description in RNAcentral is "partial 16S ribosomal RNA". It matches the Rfam family "Bacterial small subunit ribosomal RNA", at positions 93 to 334 of the family's 1533-position model. The record is from RNAcentral.
CGUAGGCGGACGGGUGAGUAACGCGUGGGUAACCUGCCUCAUACAGGGGGAUAACGGUUAGAAAUGACUGCUAAUACCGCAUAAGCGCACAGUACCGCAUGGUACGGUGUGAAAAACUCCGGUGGUAUGAGAUGGACCCGCGUCUGAUUAGCUAGUUGGUGGGGUAACGGCCCACCAAGGCGACGAUCAGUAGCCGACCUGAGAGGGUGACCGGCCACAUUGGGACUGAGACACGGCCCAG